UACGUAGGUGGCAAGCGUUAUCCGGAAUUAUUGGGCGUAAAGCGCGCGUAGGCGGUUUUUUAAGUCUGAUGUGAAAGCCCACGGCUCAACCGUGGAGGGUCAUUGGAAACUGAAAAACUUGAGUGCAGAAGAGGAAAGUGGAAUUCCAUGUGUAGCGGUGAAAUGCGCAGAGAUAUGGAGGAACACCAGUGGCGAAGGCGACUUUCUGGUCUGUAACUGACGCUGAUGUGCGAAAGCGUGGGGAUCAAACAGGAUUAGAUACCCUGGUAGUCCACGCCGUAAACGAUGAGUGCUAAGUGUUAGGGGGUUUCCGCCCCUUAGUGCUGCAGCUAACGCAUUAAGCACUCCGCCUGGGGAGUACGGCCGCAAGGCUUAAACUCAAAGGAAUUGACGGGGACCCGCACAAGCGGUGGAGCAUGUGGUUUAAUUCGAAGCAACGCGAAGAACCUUACCAAAUCUUGACAUCCUUUGACCGCUCUAGAGAUAGAGUCUUCCCCUUCGGGGGACAAAGUGACAGGUGGUGCAUGGUUGUCGUCAGCUCGUGUCGUGAGAUGUUGGGUUAAGUCCCGCAACGAGCGCAACCCUUAAGCUUAGCUGCCAUCAUUCAGUUGGGCACUCUAAGUUGACUGCCGGUGACAAACCGGAGGAAGGUGGGGAUGACGUCAAAUCAUCAUGCCCCUUAUGAUUUGGGCUACACACGUGCUACAAUGGCCGGUACAGUAGGUUGCGAGACCGUGAGGUGGAGCUAAUCCUUUAAAGCUGGUCGUAGUUCGGAUUGGGGUCUGCAACUCGACCCCAUGAAGUCGGAGUCGCUAGUAAUCGCAGAUCAGCAACGCUGCGGUGAAUACGUCCCGGCC
RNAcentral lists this ribosomal RNA (857 nucleotides) under uncultured bacterium. RNAcentral describes it as "bacterial SSU rRNA". It matches the Rfam family "Bacterial small subunit ribosomal RNA", at positions 524 to 1380 of the family's 1533-position model. The record is from RNAcentral.